GUGCCAGCCAAGACAGGUUCGACAGAGUCAGACACCCUGUAUUCACUCCUGAAGCCAGUGAAGAAACCAGACUUAGCUGGCCCCAGUGAUGUCACAUAUGCUGAUGUACAGAUUAAGAUGAAGCCACAGGGGAACAGAGCCAAACCCACGUCCUCUAAAGAAGAAUGUUUUUACUCUUCUGUCCAGCCCGGGUGCUCAUCAGAUGGAGGGUCCAGUGAUGCAACGUAUGCUCAAGUUAGAAAGGGAGCCAAAAAACCUGGAAACAAAAAUGCUUGACAAUGACACAAGUGCACUUCAAGUGACUCCAACUGCACAAGGAUGAAGUAGCAAAGCCUGGAUGUGUGAGAUCAUCAUCAUGAUCAAGAGCCAUGCACCCAUAAACAUCAUUUAACCAGAAGUAACGGGUAUCAACAGGUUGUGUUAGUGAGAUGCAUAGUGACUGCACUGCCAGAGUUAUUCCUUCCCUGUGCUGAGUGUCUUUCUGGUACUGUAGUAUAAUACAUGUUUAUCAUAUUUGA
Clupea harengus (Atlantic herring) is the source of this 518-nucleotide long non-coding RNA. The record is from Ensembl. Lineage: Eukaryota; Metazoa; Chordata; Actinopteri; Clupeiformes; Clupeidae.